AAAUAGAUACCCCGGUAGUCCACGCCGUAAACGAUGACGUGCUAAGUGUUAGGGGGUUUCCGCCCCUUAGUGCUGCAGCUAACGCAUUAAGCACUCCGCCUGGGGAGUACGGUCGCAAGACUGAAACUCAAAGGAAUUGACGGGGGCCCGCACAAGCGGUGGAGCAUGUGGUUUAAUUCGAAGCAACGCGAAGAACCUUACCAGGUCUUGACAUCCCGCUGACCGGCCUAGAGAUAGGCUUUUCCCUUCGGGGACAGCGGUGACAGGUGGUGCAUGGUUGUCGUCAGCUCGUGUCGUGAGAUGUUGGGUUAAGUCCCGCAACGAGCGCAACCCUUGAUCUUAGUUGCCAGCAUUCAGUUGGGCACUCUAAGGUGACUGCCGGUGAUAAACCGGAGGAAGGUGGGGAUGACGUCAAAUCAUCAUGCCCCUUAUGACCUGGGCUACACACGUGCUACAAUGGACGGUACAGAGGGUCGCAACCCCGGCGAGGGUGAGCUAAUCCCAUAAAACCCGGUUCUCAGUUCGGAUUGUAGGCUGCAACUCGCCUAAC
Molecule: ribosomal RNA, 550 nt
Filed under: uncultured bacterium
Lineage: Bacteria
Description: bacterial SSU rRNA
Rfam family: Bacterial small subunit ribosomal RNA
Source: RNAcentral